AUUGAACGCUGGCGGCAGGCCUAACACAUGCAAGUCGGACGGUAGCACAGAGAGCUUGCUCUUGGGUGACGAGUGGCGGACGGGUGAGUAAUGUCUGGGGAUCUGCCCGAUAGAGGGGGAUAACCACUGGAAACGGUGGCUAAUACCGCAUAACGUCGCAAGACCAAAGAGGGGGACCUUCGGGCCUCUCACUAUCGGAUGAACCCAGAUGGGAUUAGCUAGUAGGCGGGGUAAUGGCCCACCUAGGCGACGAUCCCUAGCUGGUCUGAGAGGAUGGCCAGCCAAACUGGAACUGAGACACGGUCCAGACUCCUACGGGAGGCAGCAGUGGGGAAUAUUGCACAAUGGGCGCAAGCCUGAUGCAGCCAUGCCGCGUGUAUGAAGAAGGCCUUCGGGUUGUAAAGUACUCUCAGCGGGGAGGAAGGCGGUGAGGUUAAUAACCUUGCCGAUUGACGUUACCCGCAGAAGAAGCACCGGCUAACUCCGUGCCAGCCGCCGCCGUAA
Molecule: ribosomal RNA, 504 nt
Filed under: uncultured bacterium
Lineage: Bacteria
Description: partial 16S ribosomal RNA
Rfam family: Bacterial small subunit ribosomal RNA
Source: RNAcentral